AUUGAACGCUGGCGGCGUGCCUAACACAUGCAAGUCGAGCGGUAACAGGUGUAGCAAUACAUGCUGACGAGCGGCGGACGGGUGAGUAACGCUUGGGAAUCUGCCUAUUAGUGGGGGACAACCCGGGGAAACUCGGGCUAAUACCGCAUACGCUCUACGGAGGAAAGCCGGGGACCGCAAGGCCUGGCGUUAAUAGAUGAGCCCAAGUCGGAUUAGCUAGUUGGUAGGGUAAUGGCCACCAAGGCGACGAUCCGUAACUGGUCUGAGAGGACGACCAGUCACACCGGAACUGAGACACGGUCCGGACUCCUACGGGAGGCAGCAGUGGGGAAUAUUGGACAAUGGGCGAAAGCCUGAUCCAGCGACGCCGCGUGGGUGAAGAAGGCCUGCGGGUUGUAAAGCACUUUCAGUAGGGAAGAAAAGCCGAGUGCUAAUACCAUUCGGUCUUGACGUUACUUACAGAAGAAGCACCGGCUAACUCCGUGCCAG
Molecule: ribosomal RNA, 489 nt
Filed under: uncultured bacterium
Lineage: Bacteria
Description: bacterial SSU rRNA
Rfam family: Bacterial small subunit ribosomal RNA
Source: RNAcentral